AAGGGCACCACAAGAACGCGUGGAGCAUGUGGCUUAAUUUGACCCAACGCGGGAAAUCUUACCGGGUCCGGACACAUUGAGGAUUGACAGGUUACUACUUAAAAUAUUGUAUAUUUUUUUAAAAUAUAUUUAAUAUUUUUUUGUAAAAAUAUGCUAGUCCUUUCAUGAUUAUGUGAUAGGUGGUGCAUGGCCGUUCUUAGUUCGUGGAGUGAUCUGUCUGCUUAAUUGCGUUUCACAAUAGGAUUUAUAUACAAUUGUUACAUUGACCCCUUUUUCUUUUUAUUAAGAAUUUGCGCGUGUCUUUGUAAUCUACAAUUUUUAAAUCCUGAAAGCAACGAACGUGACC
This 346-nucleotide ribosomal RNA is filed under the name Trochammina sp. Its description in RNAcentral is "partial small subunit ribosomal RNA". It matches the Rfam family "Eukaryotic small subunit ribosomal RNA", at positions 1160 to 1457 of the family's 1831-position model. Lineage: Eukaryota; Foraminifera; Textulariida; Trochamminidae. The record is from RNAcentral.